This is a non-coding RNA of Salmo salar (Atlantic salmon), 1386 nucleotides long. The record is from RefSeq and is a predicted model, not a curated record. Lineage: Eukaryota; Metazoa; Chordata; Actinopteri; Salmoniformes; Salmonidae.
ACUGAGUGACAGCAUGAGGAGGACUAGCAACACCAACUCUACCUUUCACACACUGACUAACUGGUGGUCCUGAACUCAACAAGAACAAGUUUCAUUUAUUUUGGUUUUGGGGUGGGGAUGCUAUCGCUUUUUUUUCCAGGUUUUGCAACAUCCAGACCCUCAGCCAUCAAAACUGUCAAUUGAAACCAAUAGAAGCCAUACUUGUUUUUGUGUGUGAUUUACAUAGGGUGUUUGUUCUAUGUUCCACUUUUCAGUGUGUGUGAGAUUGAUAGUGAUAAAGGAAGGUGUGUGUGUAUCGCACCAGUCUCAGCAUGCUUUCUGUUGAUUCUGUGAAACUAUAAAGUACCCUGCCUUAACAGAUCUGUGAUUCCAUAGAAGUGAAACGAACUGUGAUGUUGUUACACCUCCCUCUCUGUAUAGCUUGUACCUCACGGUCUUCUUCGUCUUCUCUCUCACAGCAAAGACCUUGGAAGUCGACAGCUUUUAUCCCCUCUAUACCUGCCUCCUACACAACAAACCCUGAGACAUACUGCAGUGUGAGCUCAGCAGCCAUCGCUGUAGCUGUCAUCCACAAAAGAAUGCAGUCUCAAAGUACUGAUGUGGGUCAGAGCCCAGGGGAGGUUUAGCUGGUGGUAACUGAGCCCAGUCUGACGCAGCAGCCCGGGGGUGUGCUUUCAUCUUAAGACAGGUGUGUGUGUGGAUCCUGUGCGUGGAGCAGUCAUUUGUGCAGCCUUUGGUAUCUGUGUGAUGCCCAGAUACUGAGAGCACAGUGGGCCAAUGGUCACUAGCAUUGUCCCAGACCCAGUACUUACCUCAGCCUCUACCUCAGGCCCAGCCCCAGGCUUUACCAUAGCAUGUGAGGCUGGAUCCCCUGAGCCCAGAAACACCACCUAACUCUCUUUGCAUGUUCUCGGGGUGUGAUAGUUGGUGUGGAUGAGGACAUGGCCUACUCCUGGCCAGUCUGCAGCUUAUGUGGGAGUAACUGCUUGGAGAUGGCACCCCAAAAGCUCUCCAGCAGAGCACCGUCAUGUCUGUGUUGUACUCUGCAGCCUCUGGCCAUGAGGUGAGUUCUCUCUCUCUGCUGUUUUCUAGCUCCAGCAGAGCACCGUCAUGUCUGUGUUGUACUCUGCAGCCUCUGGCCAUGAGGUGAGUUCUCUCUCUCUGCUGUUUUCUAGCUCCAGCAGAGCACCGUCAUGUCUGUGUUGUACUCUGCAGCCUCUGGCCAUGAGGUGAGUUCUCUCUCUCUGCUGUUUUCUAGCUCCAGCAGAGCACCGUCAUGUCUGUGUUGUACUCUGCAGCCUCUGGCCAUGAGGUGAGUUCUCUCUCUCUGCUGUUUUCUAGCUCCAGCAGAGCACCGUCAUGUCUGUGUUGUACUCUGCAGCCUCU